This is a long non-coding RNA of Amphiprion ocellaris (clown anemonefish), 472 nucleotides long. RefSeq lists it as uncharacterized. The transcript has 2 exons. NCBI's taxonomy places the organism in Eukaryota, Metazoa, Chordata, Actinopteri, Pomacentridae. The record is from RefSeq and is a predicted model, not a curated record.
CUUCCCUCACAUCCACCUCCGUCCUCAGACGUCGUAGUCGGGCAGAGCAGAGUAGGAGACGCCGCCAACCGAUGGAGGACUGGAGUGGAGAGGAAGCAGCCAGCAGAACACCGAGCCUGAACACAGCAGGAACAACACGUUUACUCACCGGUGUAGAAGAGAAACUGGAUGAAAUACUUCUGGUUCAGCUCCCCGACGCAGUUAUUGAUCCUGGAAACAGACAAACGUCAGACGGAGGAGCUGAGAGGCAGAACAGACGGAGGAUGGAUGGAUAAAUGGAAGCGUCCUCUCACCAGGGACAGUGGUGGUCCAUGCGACGGAUGCAUCUCUGGCAGACUCUGCAGUGGUGAGCUCUGGGAGGUCUGUAGGUUUCACAGCGACUGCACACCGUCCAUCCCUCACAGCCCUGAAACAGAAAACAAUCAGUCUGAUUAGUCCUGAAAUACAGAAAUAAUAAAUACGAUCAGCCCUG